This 468-nucleotide ribosomal RNA is filed under the name uncultured bacterium. Its description in RNAcentral is "partial 16S ribosomal RNA". It matches the Rfam family "Bacterial small subunit ribosomal RNA", at positions 28 to 507 of the family's 1533-position model. The record is from RNAcentral.
GACGAACGCUGGCGGCGUGCUUAACACAUGCAAGUCGAACGGAAAGGCCCUGCUUUUGUGGGGUGCUCGAGUGGCGAACGGGUGAGUAACACGUGAGUAACCUGCCCUUGACUUUGGGAUAACUUCAGGAAACUGGGGCUAAUACCGGAUAGGAGCUCCUGCUGCAUGGUGGGGGUUGGAAAGUUUCGGCGGUUGGGGAUGGACUCGCGGCUUAUCAGCUUGUUGGUGGGGUAGUGGCUUACCAAGGCUUUGACGGGUAGCCGGCCUGAGAGGGUGACCGGCAACAUUGGGACUGAGAUACGGCCCAGACUCCUACGGGAGGCAGCAGUGGGGAAUAUUGCACAAUGGGCGGAAGCCUGAUGCAGCAACGCCGCGUGCGGGAUGACGGCCUUCGGGUUGUAAACCGCUUUAGCCUGUGACGAAGCGUGAGUGACGGUAAUGGGUAAAGAAGCACCGGCUAACUACGUG